AAUCAACGCUGGCGGCGUGCCUCAGACAUGCAAGUCGAACGCGAAAGUCCCCUUCGGGGGACAAGUAGAGUGGCGCACGGGUGAGUAACACGUAGGUAAUCUACCUUCGGAUGGGGAAUAACAAUCGGAAACGGUUGCUAAUACCGCAUAAUGCAGCGGCACCUAAUGGUGACAGUUGUUAAAGCGGGGGAUCGAAAGACCUCGCGUCUGAAGAGGAGCCUGCGGCGGAUUAGCAGUUGGUAAGGUAAUGGCUUACCAAGGCGACGAUCCGUAACCGGCCUGAGAGGGCGGUCGGUCACACUGACACUGACAUACGGGUCAGACUCCUACGGGAGGCAGCAGUCGGGAAUUUUGGGCAAUGGGCGAAAGCCUGACCCAGCAACGCCGCGU
This 390-nucleotide ribosomal RNA is filed under the name uncultured bacterium. RNAcentral describes it as "bacterial SSU rRNA". It matches the Rfam family "Bacterial small subunit ribosomal RNA", at positions 32 to 402 of the family's 1533-position model. The record is from RNAcentral.